UGGGGAAUAUUGGACAAUGGGCGCAAGCCUGAUCCAGCCAUGCCGCGUGAGUGAUGAAGGCCUUAGGGUUGUAAAACUCUUUCACCGGUGAAGAUAAUGACGGUAGCCGGAGAAGAAGCCCCGGCUAACUCCGUGCCAGCAGCCGCGGUAAUACGGAGGGGGCUAGCGUUGUUCGGAAUUACUGGGCGUAAAGCGCACGUAGGCGGAUUGGUCAGUUGGGGGUGAAAUCCCAAGGCUUAACCUUGGAACUGCCUCCAAAACUGCCAGUCUUGAGUCCGGGAGAGGUGAGUGGAAUUCCUAGUGUAGAGGUGAAAUUCGUAGAUAUUAGGAAGAACACCAGUGGCGAAGGCGGCUCACUGGCCCGGUACUGACGCUGAGGUGCGAAAGCGUGGGGAGCGAACAGGAUUAGAUACCCCCGUAGUCC
This 424-nucleotide ribosomal RNA is filed under the name uncultured prokaryote. Its description in RNAcentral is "bacterial SSU rRNA". It matches the Rfam family "Bacterial small subunit ribosomal RNA", at positions 355 to 796 of the family's 1533-position model. The record is from RNAcentral.